GCUUCUGCAAGUCCCCUGCCCGCUGCUGCCUCUCUGUCUUCCCCGCCUGUGCCGGUGCUGGGUGUUCUCUCUGGAGCAGCUGCGAUUGCAGAUGUUGGGGGGCACCCCUUGAAAGACCCCCGCCGGCCUCCACUUCCCCCGCGGCCGCACGCUCGGCCACCGGCUCCCUCCCAAGCCUUCACCCCGGCGGGACUCGCGCCCCCGGCCCACCCCGCCUGGCACCCCGCUCCCGCCCGAUGGGAACGCUCCGUCCCAAGGUCAGCCAUCUGGACGCGGAGGGAGGAACUGCCGAGUCUGUUGUACCCAAGAUGAGAUAGAGCCAAGGCCGCUUCGCCUAAUUAUCAAACCUUGAGAAAAUGCUCUGUACCUCAUUAAAUUGUCCAAUAGAAUCCCUGUAACUAUGCUUUUCGCUUCUGCACUGUGCUUUUUGCUAUAUAAGGACCCCUCUCCCUUGGCUCGGCGCGCUUAGCCACACAGAAGCUAAGUCCACCCGGGUACCCGCGUCUCUAAUAAAACCUCUUGCGGUUUUGCAUCCAAGUCCGUGGUCUCGCUGAUUCCUGGGUGCAGGUCUCCUUCUACGAAAGUACCUCUUCUGAGGUCUUUCAUUUGGGGGCUCGUCCAGGAUCGAGACCCGCCCAGGGACCACCGACCCACGUUUGGGAGGUAAGCGUUGUGCGGAUCCGCUGUCUUGUCUUGUCUCGUCUUGUCUGUCUGUCUGAAUCCGUUUUAUGAACUGCGCUUGCGUUUGUAGUACACAGCUGCGUACAUUUGUAUUUGGUGGCUCCGAGGAGGAACUGACGAGUUCGGACUCCCGACCACGGCUCCAGGAGACGUCCUGGUAGCGAUUGAGGCCUUAGUGGGCUCACCUUUGUACUUUUGGUUUUGAGCUGAGAUUUAUGACUGGACAUCUUCCCAGUCUCUUUGGAGAAGGCCCUCGGCUUCAGGGAUUUGCAAUCUUUACUGGGGACGAAGAAAGAGGGCCCCCUUCUUCGACCCCCUCUCAAUUCUUACUUUCGACUCUCUGUCGAAACCGCGCUGCGAAAGCCUGUUCUGUGUUGUUUGGUCUUUGUUUUGUAGUUGAUGUGCAUAAACGCAAAUGGAUUACUCUUUGUUCCUCAGAAUGGCCAGCCUUUGACGUGGGCCGGCAGCGAGAUGGUACCUUUAACCCCCAAACUAUAUUUCAGGUAAAAGAGAAGACACCUGAGGUACUCCCCCCGGGAGAAUUGACUGAGGAGCCCCCGCCAGGACAUCUAAACGGCCUUAAAGUUAUUAAGAACUAUAAAAAGACUUUAAUAAAAUUUUUAUGUUGACUGAGAAAUGAAAAAAAAUAUAAGAAACUUAAAUAAUAGAGGGAAAGAAAAAAAGAAAGCUUGUCUAAAAGUGUCUAAGAGAGUCAGAGAAAUGAACUAAAAGGUUAUAGAGGGUUAAAGCAAGUCAUAGCAGAGAAGAUUGUUACAGAAAGUUAUAGAGGGUUAAAGCAAGUCGUAAAAGGUCAGAGGAAAGUUGUUAAAAGUCAAAAAAAAAAAAAGGUUGUUAUAAGUCAGAGAAAAAUAUAAACUGUGCUAUGGUUUCUCAUGUCUACAAAUAAUAAAUUUUUAAAAAAUAAUAAUAUAAGCUAAAAUUUUA
Molecule: long non-coding RNA, 1626 nt
Filed under: Cricetulus griseus (Chinese hamster)
Lineage: Eukaryota; Metazoa; Chordata; Mammalia; Rodentia; Cricetidae
Description: lncRNA (ENSCGRG00015041738.1)
Rfam family: Gammaretrovirus core encapsidation signal (bases 744-843)
Source: RNAcentral